Molecule: ribosomal RNA, 1016 nt
Filed under: Burkholderiaceae bacterium Snap3b
Lineage: Bacteria; Pseudomonadati; Pseudomonadota; Betaproteobacteria; Burkholderiales; Burkholderiaceae
Description: bacterial SSU rRNA
Rfam family: Bacterial small subunit ribosomal RNA
Source: RNAcentral
AUGCAAGUCGAACGGCAGCACGGAGAGCAAUCCUGGUGGCGAGUGGCGAACGGGUGAGUAAUACAUCGGAACGUGUCCUGUAGUGGGGGAUAGCCCGGCGAAAGCCGGAUUAAUACCGCAUACGCUCUACGGAGGAAAGGGGGGGAUCUUCGGACCUCCCGCUACAGGGGCGGCCGAUGGCAGAUUAGCUAGUUGGUGGGGUAAAGGCCUACCAAGGCGACGAUCUGUAGCUGGUCUGAGAGGACGACCAGCCACACUGGGACUGAGACACGGCCCAGACUCCUACGGGAGGCAGCAGUGGGGAAUUUUGGACAAUGGGGGCAACCCUGAUCCAGCAAUGCCGCGUGUGUGAAGAAGGCCUUCGGGUUGUAAAGCACUUUUGUCCGGAAAGAAAACCUCCGCCCUAAUACGGUGGGGGGAUGACGGUACCGGAAGAAUAAGCACCGGCUAACUACGUGCCAGCAGCCGCGGUAAUACGUAGGGUGCAAGCGUUAAUCGGAAUUACUGGGCGUAAAGCGUGCGCAGGCGGUUCGCUAAGACCGAUGUGAAAUCCCCGGGCUUAACCUGGGAACUGCAUUGGUGACUGGCGGGCUAGAGUAUGGCAGAGGGGGGUAGAAUUCCACGUGUAGCAGUGAAAUGCGUAGAGAUGUGGAGGAAUACCGAUGGCGAAGGCAGCCCCCUGGGCCAAUACUGACGCUCAUGCACGAAAGCGUGGGGAGCAAACAGGAUUAGAUACCCUGGUAGUCCACGCCCUAAACGAUGUCAACUAGUUGUCGGGUCUUCAUUGACUUGGUAACGUAGCUAACGCGUGAAGUUGACCGCCUGGGGAGUACGGUCGCAAGAUUAAAACUCAAAGGAAUUGACGGGGACCCGCACAAGCGGUGGAUGAUGUGGAUUAAUUCGAUGCAACGCGAAAAACCUUACCUACCCUUGACAUGUAUGGAACCUGGGCCGAAAAGGUCGGGGUGCCCCGAAAGGGAGCCAUAACACCGGGUGCUGCAUGGCUGUCGUCAGCU